Molecule: ribosomal RNA, 1057 nt
Filed under: uncultured Verrucomicrobiota bacterium
Lineage: Bacteria; Pseudomonadati; Verrucomicrobiota
Description: bacterial SSU rRNA
Rfam family: Bacterial small subunit ribosomal RNA
Source: RNAcentral
UAGCUUGAGCAUCGAACGAGAAGCGGCUUCGGUCCUGUGGACGUGGCGAACGGGUGCGUAACACGUGAGCAACCUGCCCCUAAGUACGGAAUACCCACCGAAGGUGGAUUAAUACCGCAUGUGACCCUUUAUCGCAUGGUAAGUGGUUAAAGCUUGUAAUGGCGCUUAGGGAUGGGCUCGCGGCCUAUCGGCUUGUUGGUGAGGUAACGGCUCCCAAGGCUAAACGGGUAGCUGGUCUGAAGGAUGAUCACCACCCGGGACUGAACACGGCCCGGACACCUACGGGGGCAGCAUUUCAAUCUUCACAGGGCAAAGCCUGAUGAUGCAAUGCCGCGUGGAGAUGACGGCCCUAGGGUUGUAAACUCCUGUCAUUAGGGAACAACAAGUAGGUUCAUAGCCUACCCUGAGUUAACCUAAAGAGGAAGAGGUGGCUAACUCCGUGCCAGCAGCCGCGGUAAUACGGAGACCUCGAGCGUUACUCGGAUUUACUGGGCGUAAAGGGUGAGCAGGCGGCCAGGUGUGUUAGGUGUGAAAUCCCGGGGCUCAACCCCGGAACUGCGCCUAAAACUACCUGGCUAGAGUAUCGAGAGGACAGUGGAAUUCCAGGUGUAGCGGUGAAAUGCGUAGAUAUCUGGAGGAACACCAGUGGCGAAGGCGACUGUCUGGACGAUUACUGACGCUCAAUCACGAAAGCGUGGGUAGCGAAGGAUUAAUACCCCUGUAGUCCACGCCGUAAACGUUGUGCACUAGUUUCGAGGAUUCGACCCUUCGAGCUCAAGCUAACGCGUUAAGUGCACCGCCUGAGACUACGGCCGCAAGGCUAAAACUCAAAGGAUUGACGGGGGCCCGCACAAGCGGUGGAGCAUGUGCUUAAUUCGAGGCAACGCGAAGAACUUACCUGGUCUUGACAUGCCGUCAUAGUUUUCGAAAGGAAUUCGUCAGUUCGGCUGGGUGCAGGUGCUGCAUGGCUGUCUCAGCUCGUGUCUGAGAUGUUCGGUAAGUCCGCACCCUUGUUGCCCGUAGCGGUCUGGAAGACACUGGGGUGGAAUAGACACAA